Molecule: long non-coding RNA, 2496 nt
Filed under: Salvator merianae (Argentine black and white tegu)
Lineage: Eukaryota; Metazoa; Chordata; Lepidosauria; Squamata; Teiidae
Description: lncRNA (ENSSMRG00000005900.1)
Source: RNAcentral
AAGAGGUAGAGAUAUUCUGGGUAAAAUGACAAGUAGAAAUCUUCCUUAAGGUGCUUCUGUCUCAGGAUAAACUGUGAGUACAGAAAGCAGUUCUUGAAUAGCUGUUUGAUAAAGCACAUUGCAGAUAUAAUACCAUCAAAGAAGCGCUCUCUCUCUCUCUCUCUCUCUCUCUCUCUCUCUCUCUCUCAUCACUGUUAACUAUACACCUGUUUAAACAAUAGCAGCGAUAUUGUGAGUAUCAUUUACAAGUGUGAAAGCAUGGCCGGUUGUAAGGUCUGACAAGGCCAGUGACAAUUAUAUUUUCCUUGCUGUUUAAUGUUGAUCAGUGCCACCAGAACAUAUUUGCUAUUUUACCUAAAAGCUUUUUAGGCCACAUUUCCAGAGAUUGCCCAUUUGUCAAGAACACAUGAAAACAUUAAAAAGUAACAGCCUUCAGUUUACUUGGAUAAUGAUACUAACAACAACAACAACAAAAUUAAAGCUCAACUAGCAAAAAUUGCCACAAAUUUUGUGCANCCUUGUGCCUAAUCAUCUAUCAUGUGGAAUAAAUAAGACAUGUCUGGAUGCAGCCUUAGUGUCAUCAAUGGCAGAAAGCCAGAGAGAAAGGAAAGGAAUGAAAAAAUAAAUCUGCCAAAGCGGAGAUAAUUAAUCAUGCAUGCUUCUCAGAUGUUUCUUUCUACUUCUAAAAUAGAUCAUGAUUUCUGUUUCAGCAAUUGCUGUAUUUCUCUCUGUGAAAGAAACUACAGUAAAUUAUUUGUCAAGACUAUUCAGAAAAUUACUUACAUUGUUUUCAUUUAUUUUUGAGCCCUUCAUUCAGUCACCAGUAUUACAGAUGAAAGAUUUAAGGCAUGGCCUGAAGAUACACAAGUCUUUCAUGUUCCUGAAGAAAAGUAAGACUAAUGCGGUCAAGGUUGCUGGCCAGUGGUUUGCUGAAGAAGUGUUUGGAUUGAAAACACUCACAGGGAAAUAUGACUGCUUAGGAUGGUUCCAUCUUUCUGCAGUAGAGCAGUACGAAAAGGAAACACAGUCAAUAAUUUUUGUUGAAAGUCCCUCACAAUACCGCCUACUAACCGUAAAUGGAGGACUGGUUCUUCAAGUUUUCCUCGACUCCACCUUCCACAUUUCUUGAUGCUGAUGGCAGUCUGGAAUCUACCAACCUCAGGAAAAUCACAUUCCUCAACUAUGAGUUACAGACGGUAGCCAAGUAAACAAUACAGUUGUACCUUGAUUUAUGUGGGGGUUCUUGUCUGGGAAAAUGGUAUGUAAAUGAAAAAUGGGUAUAUUGAUAAACUGGGGAUUAGGGGAACUUACUGAGCUGGGGAAGGGGUGCAGCUGCAGCUAGAAUGGCCUUUUGCUAAGCCUGUUUCUUCAUUUGGAUGUUUAGGNGAGGGGAGGGCCAGGAAAGGGCAGUCUGCAUGUGGAUGCCAUGGUGAUGAUCAGAUACUUAAAAGAAGUGCUUCUUGGCCUUUUGGCUCAGACUGAGUAUGUAUGUGAAGAAGGAUGUGCAUAGAAGAAGUGUGAGAAUCUUGUAAAUUGUUGUGCUAGCUGUUGCUGCCAAAGCUGGGUGAUGAAGUCUCAGAAAUCAGAGGCAAAGUGAAGAAAGGAUCACUGGUUUGAGUGAGGACCCAAGAGAAGGUGGCUGCAACCCUUCUUCAGUCCAACUGCUGGGGACAAUUUGGAUCCGAACUCUGUACUACUGAAUCAACAGAGGCAUUUAAAUUGAGGUGGAUCAUGGGUCCUCUAACACAAAAUUGUGGAAAUACGCUGUUGGAGACCACUUAAAUUGAGGUAUAACUAUAGCUAGUGGUUUAACCUCAAUGCUAACACACAGAGGAACUAAUGAUAUCAGGAAUAAUAUGAGGGCUGAGUCAGGAUUCAGGAUUUGUUUUAUCAAACAAAGUACAUCCCCUAGUUUAGAUUUAACACUAAGAGUGUGUGUGUGCGUGUGUCUGUGUGUGUGUUUCUCACUGGGUCUACACUAUAAGAGUGGAAAUAAGCAGAUCAGAUAUUAUGGUCAUGAUGGCUAACCGUAACAUGCGAAGGAGCCAGUAUACUUGGAGUAAAUCAGUAACUUAUAGAAUGUGCUUCCUGUGGGUUUACAAAGUACUUGAUAAUUACUAUCACUUGGUGGUUUCUCCAAAGUGAAAGACAAAAGCCUGUAGUUAAUUUGCAAGUGAAUAUUUAGCAAAAGAUGCCUACAUCAGAUUUCCAGAGGCCACAAAACUAGUGGCUGAGCCGCUAGAGAGCAGUUGUGAUAAUGUGACAGGUUACUCUAAAGCACUGUACAUGAAUUAUAUCAGAAAGCAGCUCCAUAUGUAGUAAUCCUUUCUGAUAGUCAGUGCCAUUUGCUCCACAGGUGUUGUUCAAAUUUGACAAAAUUAUCUAUUGCUGUGUAGACUACAGUAGCCUAAAUAUAGUAGCCAGCCGGUGAAUACUUCAUGCCAGGCCAAGUCAGAGAGGGGAAAUACUGAAUCACUAGCACUAAUUGAAUAAAGG